AGAGUUUGAUCCUGGCUCAGGAUGAACGCUGGCGGCGUGCCUAAUACAUGCAAGUCGAACGAAACUUCUUUAUCACCGAGUGCUUGCACUCACCGAUAAAGAGUUGAGUGGCGAACGGGUGAGUAACACGUGGGCAACCUGCCCAAAAGAGGGGGAUAACACUUGGAAACAGGUGCUAAUACCGCAUAACCAUAGUUACCGCAUGGUAACUAUGUAAAAGGUGGCUAUGCUACCGCUUUUGGAUGGGCCCGCGGCGCAUUAGCUAGUUGGUGAGGUAAAGGCUUACCAAGGCAAUGAUGCGUAGCCGAACUGAGAGGUUGAUCGGCCACAUUGGGACUGAGACACGGCCCAAACUCCUACGGGAGGCAGCAGUAGGGAAUCUUCCACAAUGGGCGGAAGCCUGAUGGAGCAACGCCGCGUGGGUGAAGAAGGUCUUUGGAUCGUAAAACCCUGUUGUUAGAGAAGAAAGUGCGUGAGAGUAACUGUUCACGUUUCGACGGUAUCUAACCAGAAAGCCACGGCUAACUACGUGCCAGCAGCCGCGGUAAUACGUAGGUGGCAAGCGUUAUCCGGAUUUAUUGGGCGUAAAGGGAACGCAGGCGGUCUUUUAAGUCUGAUGUGAAAGCCUUCGGCUUAACCGGAGUAGUGCAUUGGAAACUGGGAGGCUUGAGUGCAGAAGAGGAGAGUGGAACUCCAUGUGUAGCGGUGAAAUGCGUAGAUAUAUGGAAGAACACCAGUGGCGAAAGCGGCUCUCUGGUCUGUAACUGACGCUGAGGUUCGAAAGCGUGGGUAGCAAACAGGAUUAGAUACCCUGGUAGUCCACGCCGUAAACGAUGAA
RNAcentral lists this ribosomal RNA (838 nucleotides) under uncultured bacterium. Its description in RNAcentral is "bacterial SSU rRNA". It matches the Rfam family "Bacterial small subunit ribosomal RNA", at positions 8 to 813 of the family's 1533-position model. The record is from RNAcentral.